RNAcentral lists this long non-coding RNA (301 nucleotides) under Monodelphis domestica (gray short-tailed opossum). RNAcentral describes it as "lncRNA (ENSMODG00000032994.2)". The record is from RNAcentral. Lineage: Eukaryota; Metazoa; Chordata; Mammalia; Didelphimorphia; Didelphidae.
AUGAAGACCAGGGGUUACAAACCUGAACCUCUCAGAGAUCAGGCUAGCAAGCCUGAGUCUCUCAACUUUGGAGGGAGGGAAGGGAGAUUUAGACAGACAGGUGUUCAGUCCAGUUCUGGUUCGGAUUCCAAGGAGGACACACACGGUGAUGCAAUUCACAAAAGGUGUAGCAAGCUUUGAAUUGUUUUACCUUGAGUAUACCUUCCUCCAUUGCUACUGCUGCUGCUGCUACCUGUUACUACUGCUGCUGCCACUUCUUGCUGCUGUAUGACACCAGUGCUUUGGAGCUCUGAACCUCACC